AGGUGGAAUUUGAGGCAAUUCGUGGCCGAUCUUUUUAUUCUGACAUGGCUUUGGAUGACAUCCAUUUCAAGGAAAUGCCCUGUGGUAUACAACACUUGGGAUGUUUUAACGAUCGUUAUAAAAGAGCUUUGCCAGACUUGAUUGCGAAUCUCCGGGAUAAAAUAGACUGGUAUGACAUGCAAAAGACCGUCAGAGAAUGCGCCUGUGUUGCUUAUGACAAAGGAUACAAGUAUUUUGCUGUGCAGUUUUAUGGAGAGUGUUGGGGCGCAAGAAGUAUGAUUGAAUAUGACAAAUAUGGUGCUUCCAACGACUGCUGGUCUGGUGUCGGAAAAGAUUUCACGAAUUAUGUUUACAAAUUCACGAAAUAAGAUACGUU
RNAcentral lists this long non-coding RNA (376 nucleotides) under Dendronephthya gigantea. RNAcentral describes it as "uncharacterized LOC114528747". The record is from RNAcentral. Lineage: Eukaryota; Metazoa; Cnidaria; Anthozoa; Malacalcyonacea; Nephtheidae.